Long non-coding RNA from Amphimedon queenslandica, 299 nucleotides. RefSeq lists it as uncharacterized. The transcript is spliced from 3 exons. The record is from RefSeq and is a predicted model, not a curated record. Lineage: Eukaryota; Metazoa; Porifera; Demospongiae; Haplosclerida; Niphatidae.
GAUACUGGAACUAGUUGAAGAUGACUGGUAUCAUAUUGGACAGUGUCUUGAAGUGAAGGAAUCAGUGUUAACUGAAAUCAAAGAGAUGACACCAGUUGAUUCAAGAUUAACUCAUGUACUUGAGAUCUGCUGUAAUGAGAAGGAUAGAACAAUAACGGAACUGGAGGACUCAUUGAAAAGAAUGGAUAGAGAUGAUAUACUGGAAGGUUUACAUGAAUUACCUACUGGACAAUAUACAAUGAAUAAUGAUGAAGAAUAUGAUAUUAAUGUAAAAGAUUCAAAUGUAUUUGAGAUUCAAA